UACGGAGGGAGCUAGCGUUAUUCGGAAUUACUGGGCGUAAAGCGCACGUAGGCGGCUUUGUAAGUUAGAGGUGAAAGCCUGGUGCUCAACACCAGAACUGCCUUUGAUACUGCAUCGCUUGAAUCCAGGAGAGGUGAGUGGAAUUCCGAGUGUAGAGGUGAAAUUCGUAGAUAUUCGGAAGAACACCAGUGGCGAAGGCGGCUCACUGGACUGGUAUUGACGCUGAGGUGCGAAAGCGUGGGGAGCAAACAGG
RNAcentral lists this ribosomal RNA (253 nucleotides) under uncultured bacterium. RNAcentral's name for it is "partial 16S ribosomal RNA". It matches the Rfam family "Bacterial small subunit ribosomal RNA", at positions 524 to 776 of the family's 1533-position model. The record is from RNAcentral. RNAcentral also lists the same sequence under 1 other name.